Molecule: ribosomal RNA, 422 nt
Filed under: uncultured bacterium
Lineage: Bacteria
Description: bacterial SSU rRNA
Rfam family: Bacterial small subunit ribosomal RNA
Source: RNAcentral
UGAGGAAUAUUGGACAAUGGGCGCAAGCCUGAUCCAGCCAUGCCGCGUGCAGGAAGAAGCAUCUAUGGUGUGUAGACCGCUUUUGUACGGGAAGAAACACUCCUUCGUGAAGGAGCUUGACGGUACCGUAAGAAUAAGGAUCGGCUACCUCCGUGCCAGCAGCCGCGGUAAUACGGAGGAUCCAAGCGUUAUCCGGAAUCAUUGGGUUUAAAGGGUCCGUAGGCGGUUUAGUAAGUCAGUGGUGAAAGCCCAUCGCUCAACGAUGGAACGGCCAUUGAUACUGCUAGACUUGAAUUAUUAGGAGGGAACGAGAAUAUGUAGUGUAGCGGUGAAAUGAUUAGAUAUUACAUGGAAUACGAAUUGCGAAGGCAGGUUACUAGUAAUGGAGUGACGCUGAGGGACGAGAGCGUGGGGAGCGAACA